AGGUUUAUGAUCGUAACAAU
This 20-nucleotide microRNA is filed under the name Ciona intestinalis (vase tunicate). RNAcentral describes it as "cin-miR-4191-5p". The record is from miRBase by way of RNAcentral. Lineage: Eukaryota; Metazoa; Chordata; Ascidiacea; Phlebobranchia; Cionidae.